AACGAACGCUGGCGGCAGGCCUAACACAUGCAAGUCGAGCGCCCCGCAAGGGGAGCGGCGGACGGGUGAGUAACGCGUGGGAACGUACCCUUUGCUACGGAAUAGCCUCGGGAAACUGGGAGUAAUACCGUAUGUGCCCUUCGGGGGAAAGAUUUAUCGGCAAAGGAUCGGCCCGCGUUGGAUUAGGUAGUUGGUGGGGUAAUGGCCUACCAAGCCGACGAUCCAUAGCUGGUUUGAGAGGAUGAUCAGCCACACUGGGACUGAGACACGGCCCAGACUCCUACGGGAGGCAGCAGUGGGGAAUCUUAGACAAUGGGCGCAAGCCUGAUCUAGCCAUGCCGCGUGAGCGAUGAAGGCCUUAGGGUUGUAAAGCUCUUUUAUCUGGGAAGAAACUCCUCUAUUCUUAGAGGCCUGACGGUACCAGAGGAAUAAGCACCGGCUAACUCCGUGCCAGCAGCCGAGGUAAAGUCAGUGACU
This 477-nucleotide ribosomal RNA is filed under the name uncultured bacterium. RNAcentral's name for it is "bacterial SSU rRNA". It matches the Rfam family "Bacterial small subunit ribosomal RNA", at positions 29 to 533 of the family's 1533-position model. The record is from RNAcentral.